RNAcentral lists this transfer RNA (72 nucleotides) under Camelus bactrianus (Bactrian camel). It matches the Rfam family "tRNA". From Rfam's summary of the family: Transfer RNA (tRNA) molecules are approximately 80 nucleotides in length. Their secondary structure includes four short double-helical elements and three loops (D, anti-codon, and T loops). Lineage: Eukaryota; Metazoa; Chordata; Mammalia; Artiodactyla; Camelidae. The record is from Rfam by way of RNAcentral. RNAcentral also lists the same sequence under 1 other name.
GGGGUUAUAGCUCAGUGGCACAGCACGUGCUUAGUAUGCAUGAGGUCUUGGGUUCAAUCCCCGGUAAUGCCA